CCUACGGGAGACAGCAGUGGGGAAUAUUGCACAAUGGGGGAAACCCUGAUGCAGCGACGCCGCGUGAGUGAAGAAGUAUUUCGGUAUGUAAAGCUCUAUCAGCAGGGAAGAAAAUGACGGUACCUGAUUAAGAAGCCCCGGCUAACUACGUGCCCGCAGCCGCGGUAAUACGUAGGGGGCAAGCGUUAUCCGGAUUUACUGGGUGUAAAGGGAGCGUAGACGGCAGCACAAGUCUGGAGUGAAAUGCCCGGGCUUAACCCCGGAACUGCUUUGGAAACUGUGCAGCUAGAGUGCAGGAGAGUGUAGUGGAAUUCCUAGUGUAGCGGUGAAAUGCGUAGAUAUUAGGAGGAACACCAGUGGCGAAGGCGGCUUACUGGACUGUAACUGACGUUGAGGCUCGAAAGCGUGGGGAGCAAACAGGAUUAGAUACCCCUGUAGUC
RNAcentral lists this ribosomal RNA (440 nucleotides) under uncultured bacterium. RNAcentral's name for it is "partial 16S ribosomal RNA". It matches the Rfam family "Bacterial small subunit ribosomal RNA", at positions 338 to 795 of the family's 1533-position model. The record is from RNAcentral.